ACGGGAGGCAGCAGUAGGGAAUAUUGCACAAUGGGGGAAACCCUGAUGCAGCGACGCCGCGUGAGCGAUGAAGUAUUUCGGUAUGUAAAGCUCUAUCAGCAGGGAAGAUAAUGACGGUACCUGACUAAGAAGCCCCGGCUAACUACGUGCCAGCAGCCGCGGUAAUACGUAGGGGGCAAGCGUUAUCCGGAUUUACUGGGUGUAAAGGGAGUGUAGGUGGUUUGGCAAGCCAGAUGUGAAAACCCGGGGCGCAACCCCGCGGACUGCAUUUGGAACUGUUAAACUUGAGUGCAGGAGAGGAAAGUGGAAUUCCUAGUGUAGCGGUGAAAUGCGUAGAUAUUAGGAGGAACACCAGUGGCGAAGGCGGCUUUCUGGACUGUAACUGACACUGAGGCUCGAAAGCGUGGGGAGCAAACAGGAUUAGAUACCCUGGUA
RNAcentral lists this ribosomal RNA (435 nucleotides) under uncultured Lachnospiraceae bacterium. Its description in RNAcentral is "bacterial SSU rRNA". It matches the Rfam family "Bacterial small subunit ribosomal RNA", at positions 341 to 792 of the family's 1533-position model. The record is from RNAcentral. Lineage: Bacteria; Bacillati; Bacillota; Clostridia; Lachnospirales; Lachnospiraceae.